GAUGAACGCUGGCGGCGUGCUUAACACAUGCAAGUCGAACGAUGAAGCCCAGCUUGCUGGGUGGUUUAGUGGCGAACGGGUGAGUAACACGUGAGUAACCUGCCCUUAACUCUGGGAUAAGCCUGGGAAACUGGGUCUAAUACCGGAUAGGAGCGUCCACCGCAUGGUGGGUGUUGGAAAGAUUUAUCGGUUUUGGAUGGACUCGCGGCCUAUCAGCUUGUUGGUGAGGUAAUGGCUCACCAAGGCGAUGACGGGUAGCCGGCAUGGGAGGGUGACCGGCCACACUGGGACUGCGAGACGGCCCAGACUCCAACGGGAGGCAGCAGUGGGGAAUCUUGCACAAUGGGCGCAAGCCUGAUGCAGCGACGCCGCGUGAGGGAUGACGGCCUUCGGGUUGUAAACCUCUUUCAGUAGGGAAGAAGCGAAAGUGACGGUACCUGAAGAAGAAGCACCGGCUAACUACGUG
Molecule: ribosomal RNA, 466 nt
Filed under: uncultured bacterium
Lineage: Bacteria
Description: partial 16S ribosomal RNA
Rfam family: Bacterial small subunit ribosomal RNA
Source: RNAcentral